GGUGCUGCAUGGUUGUCGUCAGCUCGUGCCGUGAGGUGUCGGGUUAAGUCCCAUAACGAGCGCAACCCUUAUCGUUAGUUGCCAUCUGGUAAAGCAGGGGACUCUAGCGAAACUGCCACCGUAAGGUGAGAGGAAGGUGGGGAUGACGUCAAAUCAGCACGGCCCUUAUGUCCAGGGCUACACACGUGUUACAAUGGUCGGUACAGAGGGCAGCUACCUGGUGACAGGAUGCUAAUCUCGAAAACCGGCCUCAGUUCGGAUCGAAGUCUGCAACUCGACUUCGUGAAGCUGGAUUCGCUAGUAAUCGCGCAUCAGCCAUGGCGCGGUGAAUACGUUCCCGGGCCUU
RNAcentral lists this ribosomal RNA (346 nucleotides) under uncultured Sphingobacteriales bacterium. Its description in RNAcentral is "bacterial SSU rRNA". It matches the Rfam family "Bacterial small subunit ribosomal RNA", at positions 1037 to 1382 of the family's 1533-position model. The record is from RNAcentral. Lineage: Bacteria; Pseudomonadati; Bacteroidota; Sphingobacteriia; Sphingobacteriales.